AGUGAACGCUGGCGGUAGGCCUAACACAUGCAAGUCGAACGGCAGCACAGUAAGAGCUUGCUCUUACGGGUGGCGAGUGGCGGACGGGUGAGGAAUACAUCGGAAUCUACUUUUUCGUGGGGGAUAACGUAGGGAAACUUACGCUAAUACCGCAUACGACCUACGGGUGAAAGCAGGGGAUCUUCGGACCUUGCGCGAUUGAAUGAGCCGAUGUCGGAUUAGCUAGUUGGCGGGGUAAAGGCCCACCAAGGCGACGAUCCGUAGCUGGUCUGAGGGGAUGAUCAGCCACACUGGAACUGAGACACGGUCCAGACUCCUACGGGAGGCAGCAGUGGGGAAUAUUGGACAAUGGGCGCAAGCCUGAUCCAGCCAUACCGCGUGGGUGAAGAAGGCCUUCGGGUUGUAAAGCCCUUUUGUUGGGAAAGAAAAGCAGCAGGCUAAUACCCCGCUGUUCUGACGGUACCCAAAGAAUAAGCACCGGCUAACUUCGUG
RNAcentral lists this ribosomal RNA (492 nucleotides) under uncultured bacterium. Its description in RNAcentral is "partial 16S ribosomal RNA". It matches the Rfam family "Bacterial small subunit ribosomal RNA", at positions 29 to 507 of the family's 1533-position model. The record is from RNAcentral.